RNAcentral lists this ribosomal RNA (337 nucleotides) under uncultured bacterium. RNAcentral describes it as "partial 16S ribosomal RNA". It matches the Rfam family "Bacterial small subunit ribosomal RNA", at positions 338 to 689 of the family's 1533-position model. The record is from RNAcentral.
CCUACGGGAGGCAGCAGUGGGGAAUAUUGCACAAUGGGCGAAAGCCUGAUGCAGCAACGCCGCGGGAAGGAAGAAGGGUUGCGGCGCGUAAACGUCUAGCAACAGGGACGAAAGAAAUGACGGUACCUGAAUAAGAAGCACCGGCUAACUACGGGCCAGCAGCCGCGGUAAUACUUAGGGGGCAAGCGUUAGCCGGAAUUAAUGGGUGUAAAGGGGGAGGAGGCGGCAUGGGAAGCCAGAUGGGAAAGCCUUGGGCUUAACCCGAGGAGUGCAUUGGGAACGAUCAAGCUAGCGUACAGGGGAGGCAAGCGGCAUUCCUCGUGUAGCGGUGACAUGC